This is a non-coding RNA of Oryza nivara, 207 nucleotides long. The record is from Rfam. Lineage: Eukaryota; Viridiplantae; Streptophyta; Magnoliopsida; Poales; Poaceae.
AAAAAGACAAACUCUAAAUUUCCGUGUCUAAUGUUUGACUAUCCGUCUUAUAUGAAAUUUUUUUUAUGAUUAGUAUUUUCAUUGUUGUUAGAUGAUAAACCAUGAUUAAUUCUUUAUACUUAACUUACUUUUUUAAUUUUUUUUAUAAUUUUUCAAAUAAGACGGAUGGUCAAACGUUGGACACGGAUACCCAGGGUUUGACUUUUU